CAGUAGCCGCGGUAAUACGAAGGGGGCUAGCGUUGCUCGGAAUGACUGGGCGUAAAGGGCGCGUAGGCGGCUUGCACAGUCAGAUGUGAAAUUCCUGGGCUUAACCUGGGGGCUGCAUUUGAUACGUGUGGGCUAGAGUGUGAAAGAGGGUCGUGGAAUUCCCAGUGUAGAGGUGAAAUUCGUAGAUAUUGGGAAGAACACCGGUGGCGAAGGCGGCGACCUGGUUCAUGACUGACGCUGAGGCGCGAAAGCGUGGGGAGCAAACAGGAUUAGAUACCCCGGUAGUCCCUGUCUCUUAUAA
Molecule: ribosomal RNA, 301 nt
Filed under: uncultured bacterium
Lineage: Bacteria
Description: partial 16S ribosomal RNA
Rfam family: Bacterial small subunit ribosomal RNA
Source: RNAcentral